CUCGACCUGACCACCUGUGUCGGUUUCAGUUACACUGGAAUCGUACCCGAAACCGACACAGGUGGUCAGGUCGAGUAGACCAAAGCGCUUGAGAGAACUCUGCUGAAGGAACUAGGCAAAAUGGUACCGUAACUUCGGGAGAAGGUACGCUGUUGAUGGUGAUAGGACUUGCUCCUUGAGCUGUCGACAGCCUCAGAAACCAGGCCGCUGCAACUGUUUAUUAAAAACAUAGCACUCUGCAAACACGAAAGUGGACGUAUAGGGUGUGAUGCCUGCCCGGUGCUGGAAGGUUAAUUGAUGGGGUUAGCGUAAGCGAAGCUCUUGAUCGAAGCCCCAGUAAACGGCGGCCGUAACUAUAACGGUCCUAAGGUAGCGAAAUUCCUUGUCGGGUAAGUUCCGACCUGCACGAAUGGCGUAAUGAUGGCGGCGCUGUCUCCAGCAGAGGCUCAGUGAAAUCGAAUUCGCCGUGAAGAUGCGGUGUACCCGCGGCUAGACGGAAAGACCCCGUGAACCUUUACUGCAGCUUGACAUUGAACUUUGACCUUACUUGUGUAGGAUAGGUGGGAGGCUUUGAAACUUGGACGCUAGUCCGAGUGGAGCCGUCCUUGAAAUACCACCCUGGUAAUGUUGAGGUUCUAACUCUGUCCCGUUAUCCGGGACGAGGACCAUGUCUGGUGGGUAGUUUGACUGGGGCGGUCUCCUCCUAAAGAGUAACGGAGGAGUACGAAGGUGCGCUCAGCGUGGUCGGAAAUCACGCGUAGAGUAUAAAGGCAAAAGCGCGCUUAACUGCGAGACCCACAAGUCGAGCAGGUACGAAAGUAGGUCUUAGUGAUCCGGUGGUUCUGUAUGGAAGGGCCAUCGCUCAACGGAUAAAAGGUACUCUGGGGAUAACAGGCUGAUACCGCCCAAGAGUUCAUAUCGACGGCGGUGUUUGGCACCUCGAUGUCGGCUCAUCUCAUCCUGGGGCUGAAGCAGGUCCCAAGGGUAUGGCUGUUCGCCAUUUAAAGAGGUACGCGAGCUGGGUUUAGAACGUCGUGAGACAGUUCGGUCCCUAUCUACCGUGGGCGCUGGAAAUUUGAGAGGAUCUGCUCCUAGUACGAGAGGACCAGAGUGGACGAACCUCUGGUGUACCGGUUGUGACGCCAGUCGCAUCGCCGGGUAGCUAUGUUCGGAAGGGAUAACCGCUGAAAGCAUCUAAGCGGGAAGCCUACCUCAAGAUAAGAUUUCCCCGAGGCUUUAUGCCUCCUAAAGAGCCGUUGAAGACUACGACGUUGAUAGGUUGGAUGUGGAAGCAUAGCGAUAUGUGAAGCUGACCAAUACUAAUUGCUCGUGAGGCUUGACUAU
This 1344-nucleotide ribosomal RNA is filed under the name metagenome. RNAcentral's name for it is "bacterial LSU rRNA". It matches the Rfam family "Bacterial large subunit ribosomal RNA", at positions 1604 to 2925 of the family's 2925-position model. The record is from RNAcentral.